CAGCAACUUCCACGCGUGCAUACCUCUUCAUUUGUGCUGCAAGGCUUGUUUUGCCUUGAGCGUUUUGUGGGUUUCCUGUGUUGCAUAACUAAUCGACGGUAUCGUAUGGAUAGAUCGAAGUCCCUUUUUGUCGUGCGUCGGCCAUGCGGCGCGGGAUGAACCUCGAAGCGGUCUCUGUGAUCCAUCUCGUCGAUGCCCAUGCAUUGAUGAUGUGGCCCAUUGAGCAUUGCCUGGUCUCUUGGAUACAGAACCUGAUGCGGGCAUGGGGUCUCACACGAUCCUGGGUUUGCCCUCGUUGAGCGUUCUCGCUUCUCUAAAACGACCGUCCGCCGCGUGUCGGCAUGUCCAUGCGUGGCGGGCGACGUCGAAG
RNAcentral lists this unclassified non-coding RNA (370 nucleotides) under Oldenburgia intermedia. Its description in RNAcentral is "partial miscellaneous RNA". Lineage: Eukaryota; Viridiplantae; Streptophyta; Magnoliopsida; Asterales; Asteraceae. The record is from RNAcentral.